This 446-nucleotide ribosomal RNA is filed under the name uncultured bacterium. RNAcentral's name for it is "partial 16S ribosomal RNA". It matches the Rfam family "Bacterial small subunit ribosomal RNA", at positions 338 to 795 of the family's 1533-position model. The record is from RNAcentral.
CCUACGGGUGGCUGCAGUCGAGAAUCUUUCACAAUGGGGGAAACCCUGAUGCUGCGACGCCGCGUGGGUGAAUGAAGGUCUUCGGAUUUUAAACCCCUGUCAUGUGGGAGCAAAUUAAAAAGAUAGUACCACAAGAGGAAGCGACGGCUAACUCUGUGCCAGCAGCCGUGGUAAUACAGAGGUCUCAAGCGUUGUUCGGAACCACUGGGCGUAAAGCGUGCGGAGGCUGUUUCGUAAGUCGUGUGUGAAAGGCGCGGGCUCAACCCGCGGACGGCACAUGAUACUGCGAGGCUAGAGUAAUGGAGGGGGAAGUGGAAUUCCCGGUGUAGCAGUGAAAUGCGUAGAUAUCGGGAGGAACACUCGUGGCGAAGGCGGGUUCCUGGACAGUAACUGACGCUGAGGCACGAAGGCCAGGGGAGCGAAAGGGAUUAGAUACCCCUGUAGUC